Molecule: non-coding RNA, 69 nt
Organism: Rattus norvegicus (Norway rat)
Lineage: Eukaryota; Metazoa; Chordata; Mammalia; Rodentia; Muridae
Source: Rfam
GGGGAUUUAGCUCAGUGGUAGAGCGCUUGCCUAGCAAGUGCAACACCCUGGGUUCGGUCCCCAGCUCCG